CGCAAGGCUCUAUCUUAAAUAACAAGCGAGAAACCUGGCUGUCUCACCCAAAAUGGGAUGCACUGUACAGUUUGUAUCUAUCGUUCUCCAGAACAUAAGUCAGCAGGUAAGUAUGAUUUUGGACUAUGUCCUUUAUUAAUCCUUUAGAUCUUCCGGUUGCCUGUUGGUAUAUUUAACAAACUGCGUUGUGACCUUCCAGGUAUUCUCUUAGAACCAAAAUGGGAUAAGAGGAGGUAAUAUGCUGAAUAUGUUAUUAUUGAUGUGUCUCAGUACAGCUUGUAUCUAUCGUUCUCCAGAACAUAAGUUGGCAGGUGAGUAUGAUAUUGGACUAUGACCUUUAUUAAUCCUAUUGAUCUUCCGAUUGCCUGUUGGUAUAUUUAACAAACUGCGUUGUGACGUUCCAGGUAUUCUCAACUGUGUUGUGACGUUCCAGGUAUUCUCUUAGAACCAAAAUCGAAAGAGAGGAGGUAAUAUGCUGAAUAUGUUAUUACUGAUGUGUCUCAGUACAGCUUGCAUCUAUCGUUCUCCAGAACAUAAGUUGGCAGGUAAGUAUAAUUUUGGACUAUGUCCUUUAUUAAUCCUAUAGAUCUUCCGGUUGCCUGUUGGUAUAUUUGACAAACUGCGUUGUGACGUUCCAGGUAUUUUCUUGGAGCCAAAAUGGGGCAAGAGGAGGUAAUAUGCUGACUAUAGUAUUAUUUAUGUGUCUCAGUACAGCCUGCAUCUAUCGUUCUCGAGAACAUAAGUUGGCAGGUAAGUAUGAUUUUGGACUAUGUCCUUUAUUAAUCCUAUAGAUCUUCCGGUUGCCUGUUGGUAUAUUUAACAAACUGCGUUGUGACGUUCCAGGUAUUCUCUUGGAGCCAAAAUGGAGGAAGAGGAGGUAAUAUGCUGAAUAUAUUAUUAUUUAUGUGUCUCAGUACAGCUUGUAUUUAUCGUUCUCCAGAACAUAAGUCGGCAGGUGAGUAUGAUAUUGGACUAUGUCCUUUAUUAAUCCUAUAGAUCCUCCAGUUGCCUGAUGGUAUAUUCAGCAAACUGCGUUGUGACGUUCCAGGUAUUCUCUUGAAACCAAAAUGGGACAAGAGGAGGUAAUAUGCUGAAUAUGUUAUUAUUGAUGUGUCUCAGUACAUAUUGUAUCUAUCGUUCUCCAGAACAUAAGUCGGCAGGUAUUCUCUUGGAGCCAAUAUGGGGCAAGAGGAAGUGAUAUGCUGAAUACCUUCAGUAGCCUGGUUGCAUCUCCUGCAUUGAUCGGUCGGCAAGCAACCUGAUCCUGCACUACCAGAAUUCGACCUUCAGUCUCGGGAAAUAGGUUUCUUGGAUACCUGGCAUGCAAUGGUUUACAGUUCCGUUCCUCUCGUUGUUUCUCUACAGUAAUACCCAUUAAUGGUGCAGUUGCAGAUGACAAAUGCAAUGGUGUAAUCCUUUUAUCCACUUCGCAUAUUGUCUUCUUGAAAGGUGAGUUGUUGUUAUUCAUGGAAUAUUCUCUAAGACUGCUCACUACUCGGUUAUGGGCUAUAGCAAGGAUUUGCAUGCCUCUGCCACCUUUUUUUCUUGGGAUUUUCAAAUUUUUUAUUGGAGGCGUGCGGGAGAUGCUACUUUUCUUUAUUGAAACUUUCUGUUUUCUGUUGUGUAAAUAAGAUAUGAACCAGGAGAUGGCAUUAUCUCUAAUUCCACUUUUCUCCAGCUUCAGCAACAAGAGACAUUAUCUUGAUAAACAAUCAUAGGCUCUUGUAAGAUUGAUGAAAAUGGCUAGAGCUAGAUUGUCCUGUUCAAUUAGUUCAUGUAUCUCCAUCGUGUACUCAAAAAUUUUAGUUUGUCUUGAUCUGCCCUUAAGGUACCCAUAUUGCGACGUUGAAAAACUGUUGCACUCCUCCAUGAAACCCAUUAAUCUUCUGCUUAUAACAUGCUUGAAAAUUUUUGAGAAACUUGGCAAAAUACUGAUAAGGCGGUAGUUCCCAAAUAGCACAUCAUCCCCCUUUUUAUGAAUUGGAUGUAUCAGUACCAAUUUUAGUUGCUCAGGAAAUUAACCAUAUCUAAGCGAGUUAUUAAUUAUAUUUAAUAGUAUACAACUCAAACCCUAUGCAUUAGGUUCAAUGAGACUAACUGGUAAUUCAUCGUCAUCAUAAGAAUGAUUAUUCUUCAGAUUUCUUAUUUUCCCCAAUAUUUUCUCUUCUGUGGUUGAUUGAAGAAACAUACAAAAUUGUUUUCUUCAUUUUUUGGACCUUUCAGUCCAUUGCAUAUGGCUCACAUUGUUUUUUGUUAAUUAUCAGAGUCCAGAAGUCUGAAACUGAAUUUUGCCGUCAUGAGCAAUCGAUCGUUUUUUUGUUUUUCAAGAAUGUCCUGCUCAUUGAACUCUUGAUUUUUUUGUUUCAAAGUCAACAGAAUAUCUUCUAAUUUCUUCUUUCAUUUGUUCAGUUCUUCGUUAUUAGGGUAGCGGUAGGUGAAUCUCUAGCGAUUCACCUAUCAGGAGAGUUGAAUCGACUCCUGCCCACCGCAGAUUCCAGGAGCUCCCUGACCCGGGAAGCUGAUACCUGUCGAAGGGGUAACGGACG
Molecule: long non-coding RNA, 2546 nt
Organism: Harmonia axyridis
Lineage: Eukaryota; Metazoa; Arthropoda; Insecta; Coleoptera; Coccinellidae
Exons: 3
Source: RefSeq, a predicted model, not a curated record